CUUUACAUCUUCUCCUCUUUGCAAAUUCUAAUUGCUUUUUCACAUUCUUCAUUCUCAAGGUAAUCUCCUCUUCCACUCUCAAUUUUUCUUGAAAUUCUAGUAGUUUAUCGUUAUUUUUCAAUAGAUAAGGUUAUUUAAUCCUCCUCAUCAUCUUCUAGCAAAAAAAAUUUCAAAAUCAUCCUCUUGUGCGUGAAUUGGGGGUGAGAGUCAAUAUGAGAGUGAAAGAGGAAGGGGCCGACCGACUUGUUGAAGGACUGGUCAAUCAAUCAUGCCCAUCGGUCGACCUGCCCAACUGGUAUGUUGAUCGACCUUACGUGCCGACUAGGUCAGUUGACUGACACAGUAGACCAACCUUUGUUGGUCAGCUAGCCCCUUGGCUGAUCGAUUGAUCAACCAUAAUGAUGGGGUUAAUCGACUUUUCGUGGCCAAUCGACCCCCUCAAGUCAUUGAUAGUCCUCCUGAUCUUUUCGAUCUUUCCGUUUUUUCCAUGUUCCCCCAAAAAUCAUAUCAGUUCUUUCAAGUCUCAAAUUUAUAACUUGAGAAUUGAUAGGAUCUGAUAGACAGGGUAGUAGUCCUUGAUACCCUAAAAGGACCUAGCUCUUAUAAUUGUUUAACCAAAUUGGAUUAAUUGCUUGAUAGUUAUACGUACGUUGACAAUUAUAUAUAUAGAGCCCCUAAGCCCAAAGAAGAGCUUCCUUGGUCAAAUCCUCAUGAGAUUGCGAUGUACAAAGAUUGUUUUGAUGGGGUUUUGAGGUUUCCUCUUCAUCAUUCUUUGUCUCGAUUUUCAACGAAUUCUAUCUUACCCCGAAUCAGGUAAUCCCAAUGCAUAGAGGAAAAAGCUAUACUUCUUGUACCUUUGUUUUAGGGAAAAAAAUUGAGCCCUUCAUCUAGUUAUUCAGGUAUGUUUUCGAGUUGCACAAUUUAUCUCAGUAUAACGCAUUUGUCUACUUCACUACUAGGGUUCCUCUUUAUAUUCCUAAGCAUACAAAUUCUAACAGUGGACGGAAGUCUCAAUUCUUCUCUGUGCAACCUUCCAAAGCCUGAUUUCCAUUCAAUACUUAUUAAAGACUUUACCAAAUUCACAUUUUCAAUAGUCAUGUUGAUCCUACUCCUCUUUCGAAUUCUCAAAUUCAAUAGCUGACUCGCCUACCACCUCUUGCACCCCUUUUAUCUCAAGUUUUAAUAAUGAGGAAGAUGUCAAUAUUGGAAAAUGGUGGACCUGUCAGUAGGUCCUUAUAUAUAGCUCUUAUUUUUGUAUUGUGCGUAUCUUCAAUUGUUAGCCUUUGUGCCUAAUUAGCUUGGCUGUAUGUAUACAAGUAUGGAGUUCGACUUGGAAAGAAUUUUGAGCUCGCUACCUAAACCUGAGCCUAAGAUUAUCCCAUGCUUUUCCCAAAAAGAAAAAGGUCGCUGGCAAGAGAAAAAGAAAAAAAGCACUGACAGGAAAUUGCUCAGCCAUGAAAUAAGCCCAGGAGAGCAGUUCCACCACAUGAAGUUGGAGGAACGACUUGAGUCCUGAUGAGGUCAGGUUUGAGAACGAUGGUUCUCCACUUCUAGAUCUUAGGUUUUUACCGACUUGAGGUAACAUAAAGUUGAUAUGGUCGAUUGUUUCAUCAUGUCUAAUCAUGUUAGAGCUUUAUCUAGACGCAGAGUAUAUAUUGUAGAGAAGAUCCUGGCAAUUUACAGCAAAAGGGUAUUCUUCUUGCUCAACUUCUUCAUUUUUGUUUAUAUUCAUGCCUUUGAGUUUGCCUGACUAUUGUAUUUUCUUUUUCCUAUAUGCUUGAUUGGUUUUGACUAUGCAAGCUUUAAUUGUUAGCGUAAGUCGCGUUUUAACGACUGAGUUAAAAGCUCUCGAGAAGGACAAGGAAGCAAGUUACUUUAAGGAAAUAGUAUGGCCUUAAAGAGAUCUUCCAAUGCUCUGGAGGCCAAGUAAAAAAGGAGAUGGAGUCUCGAACUAGUGAACAAGAGAGUGAAAUUUGAUAACUUGUGCUCUUCUCUGGCCCGUGCUCGGAUUGAUGCAGUAGAUUGAUACAAGGCUUCUUUGAAGUAUAUUAAGGACAUAAAUGAAUAUAGGGCAAAAGCUAUGGCGGCCUCUAUCACUCUUACUAAAGAAUGGGUGGUUGCUGAGCAUCCAUCCACCGAUCCCUUUAACUACAAUCGAUUUCUAUUAUAGUGGAGAGAUAAAGAAAAGUAGCUAAGCAGAGCAAAACAUUUGGAUACACUAGUGCACCACGGAGAGAAAGCGGAGAGAGUUCGCAUCCCGAGUGACUUAGUUUUUAAUUAUUU
RNAcentral lists this long non-coding RNA (2283 nucleotides) under Olea europaea subsp. europaea. The record is from RNAcentral. Lineage: Eukaryota; Viridiplantae; Streptophyta; Magnoliopsida; Lamiales; Oleaceae.